RNAcentral lists this transfer RNA (76 nucleotides) under Ochrobactrum phage vB_OspM_OC. Its description in RNAcentral is "tRNA-Asn". It matches the Rfam family "tRNA". Rfam says of the family: Transfer RNA (tRNA) molecules are approximately 80 nucleotides in length. Their secondary structure includes four short double-helical elements and three loops (D, anti-codon, and T loops). Further hydrogen bonds mediate the characteristic L-shaped molecular structure. tRNAs have two regions of fundamental functional importance: the anti-codon, which is responsible for specific mRNA codon recognition, and the 3' end, to which the tRNAs corresponding amino acid is attached (by aminoacyl-tRNA synthetases). tRNAs cope with the degeneracy of the genetic code in two manners: having more than one tRNA (with a specific anti-codon) for a particular amino acid; and 'wobble' base-pairing, i.e. permitting non-standard base-pairing at the 3rd anti-codon position. The record is from RNAcentral. Lineage: Duplodnaviria; Heunggongvirae; Uroviricota; Caudoviricetes; Pantevenvirales; Kyanoviridae.
UGGAGAGUAGCUCAACUGGUAGAGCAUCCGGCUGUUAACCGGAAGGUUGCGGGAUCGAAGCCCGCCUUUCCAGCCA